UGCAGACUUGGAAAAGUAAGUAAAGGUUCUGUACUCUGUUUAAAAUGAGCACACAGCUGCCCUCUAGUUGAUCUUCACCGUUGCCGACUCGACCGUAAGUUUACACAAUAGCAAAGAGGAGAAGCCGAGUAAACACACUUACUUCUUCCACACGGUACAUUACAGUAGUGGACAUUUAGUGUCAAAAGGGAACAACACAAAGGUAAACAUUUAUGAGACGGCUCAACUGUCUUUACAUCCCGUUUUGAAAUAAACAAAUGAAACGCUCCAAGAUGACAAAAACAAAUCUACGAUCUCAUUUCUAUCUAAUUAUUCCAUGCUGCCAGAGUGGGUGCUCCAAAGUGGCUUUAGUACCAGUUUAGGUUUGAAACAGAAGUUACUUAACUUCAUAUCAAGUACUUUGAAACAUCUGUCUGAUUCAUAUUUGAUGUGUGUCUUACAGGUGACCUGGGGUCCGUUUCACAAAGCAGGUUCAAUAAAACUCUGAGUCUAACCCUGAACUCUAGCUGAUCUACUCUGAGAUAGGAAACUCUGUGUUUUCGGUUCCACAACAGCUGAUUUGAGUUAGUUAAAUCAACUUGGAGUAGUUUCACCUGGGGUUAAGUGCGAGCACCACAACUUUAAAAAGACAGCAUCAAUGGAGCCCCGAUUCGACGAGUCACCACGGCAAAGGAGAAGAAGAGGGCGGCAUUUUUCACCCCACUGGAACUGGACAUCCUUAUUCGCUCAUAUGGCGAGUUUGAGCAUGUUUUU
Molecule: long non-coding RNA, 753 nt
Organism: Notolabrus celidotus (New Zealand spotty)
Lineage: Eukaryota; Metazoa; Chordata; Actinopteri; Labriformes; Labridae
Exons: 3
Source: RefSeq, a predicted model, not a curated record